CCUAUGGGGGGAGGAAGUGGGGAAUAUUGGACAAUGGGGGGAACCCUGAUCCAGCCAUGCCGCGUGUGUGAAGAAGGCCCUCGGGUUGUAAAGCACUUUCAGUGAGGAAGAACGCCUGGUGGUUAAUACCCAUCAGGAAAGACAUCACUCACAGAAGAAGCACCGGCUAACUCCGUGCCAGCAGCCGCGGUAAUACGGAGGGUGCGAGCGUUAAUCGGAAUUACUGGGCGUAAAGCGCGCGUAGGUGGCUUGAUAAGCCGGUUGUGAAAGCCCCGGGCUCAACCUGGGAACGGCAUCCGGAACUGUCAAGCUAGAGUGCAGGAGAGGAAGGUAGAAUUCCCGGUGUAGCGGUGAAAUGCGUAGAGAUCGGGAGGAAUACCAGUGGCGAAGGCGGCCUUCUGGACUGACACUGACACUGAGGUGCGAAAGCGUGGGUAGCAAACAGGAUUAGAUACCCUGGUAGUC
Molecule: ribosomal RNA, 465 nt
Filed under: Vreelandella stevensii
Lineage: Bacteria; Pseudomonadati; Pseudomonadota; Gammaproteobacteria; Oceanospirillales; Halomonadaceae
Description: partial 16S ribosomal RNA
Rfam family: Bacterial small subunit ribosomal RNA
Source: RNAcentral